RNAcentral lists this ribosomal RNA (483 nucleotides) under uncultured bacterium. RNAcentral's name for it is "partial 16S ribosomal RNA". It matches the Rfam family "Bacterial small subunit ribosomal RNA", at positions 28 to 507 of the family's 1533-position model. The record is from RNAcentral.
GACGAACGCUGGCGGCGUGCUUAACACAUGCAAGUCGAACGCUGAAGCUCAGCUUUUGUUGGGUGGAUGAGUGGCGAACGGGUGAGUAACACGUGAGUAACCUGCCUCCUUCUUUGGGAUAACGCCCGGAAACGGGUGCUAAUACUGGAUAUUCACUGGUCUUCGCAUGGGGGUUGGUGGAAAGGGUUUUUCUGGUGGGGGAUGGGCUCGCGGCCUAUCAGCUUGUUGGUGGGGUGAUGGCCUACCAAGGCUUUGACGGGUAGCCGGCCUGAGAGGGUGACCGGUCACAUUGGGGCUGAGAUACGGCCCAGACUCCUACGGGAGGCAGCAGGGGGGAAUAUUGCACAAUGGGCGCAAGCCUGAUGCAGCGACGCCGCGUGAGGGAUGGAGGCCUUCGGGUUGUGAACCUCUUUCGCUCAUGGUCAAGCCGCAACAAUGGUUGUGGUGAGGGUAGUGGGUAAAGAAGCGCCGGCUAACUACGUG